AGAACUUUUUUAUAAUAAAAACGUAAGACAAACAUGAUUUUUAAUACUGAAAAAAACCGUUUUAGCCACACUGUAAAAAAUGCAACAACUACCAAUGAUGGGGUUAAAUUUUAUGAUAAAUUGAUAACUCUUCCCUACUACUCCAUCCACCGGUCUAAACUUCACACUGUUAAUAUAUAAUAUUUAUAAACGGUAAAUCCGAUAUGUUAGCCUUAUUGUGCGUCACAAUGUUUAGAAAGUUAUUCGCCAUUCGCAGCUGUGUU
Molecule: non-coding RNA, 263 nt
Organism: Cinara cedri
Lineage: Eukaryota; Metazoa; Arthropoda; Insecta; Hemiptera; Aphididae
Source: the annotation of a GenBank genome assembly